RNAcentral lists this ribosomal RNA (444 nucleotides) under uncultured prokaryote. RNAcentral describes it as "bacterial SSU rRNA". It matches the Rfam family "Bacterial small subunit ribosomal RNA", at positions 355 to 796 of the family's 1533-position model. The record is from RNAcentral.
UGAGGAAUAUUGGACAAUGGGCGGAGGCCUGAUCCAGCCAUGCCGCGUGCGGGAAGACGGCCCUACGGGUCGUAAACCGCUUUUGUACGGGAAGAACCGCGCCCACGUGUGGGCGCCUGACGGUACCGUAAGAAUAAGGACCGGCUAACUCCGUGCCAGCAGCCGCGGUAAUACGGAGGGUCCGAGCGUUAUCCGGAAUCAUUGGGUUUAAAGGGUCCGUAGGCGGGCCGUUAAGUCAGGGGUGAAAUACUGCGGCUCAACCGUAGAGGUGCCCUUGAUACUGGCGGUCUGGAGUUGUGGCGGGGCGGCCGGAAUAUGUGGUGUAGCGGUGAAAUGCAUAGAUAUCACAUAGAACACCGAUCGCGAAGGCAGGUCGCCAGCCACAUACUGACGCUGAUGGACGAAAGCGUGGGGAGCGAACGGGAUUAGAUACCCCCGUAGUCC